Molecule: unclassified non-coding RNA, 317 nt
Filed under: uncultured fungus
Lineage: Eukaryota; Fungi
Description: partial contains 5.8S ribosomal RNA, internal transcribed spacer 2, and large subunit ribosomal RNA
Source: RNAcentral
AACGCAUCUUGCGCUCCUUGGUAUUCCUUGGAGCAUGCCUGUUUGAGUAUCAUGAGAAAAACUCAAAGUCAAUUCCUUUUGGUUUUGCUUUGGACUUGGAGGUUCUUGCAGAUUUCACGUCUGCUCCUCUUAAAUGCAUUAGCUGGAUCUCAGUAUUAUGCUUGGUUCCACUUGGCGUGAUAAGUAUCACUCGCUGAGGACACUUGUAAAAAGGUGGCCAGGAAAAUACUGAUUGAACCGCUUCUAACGGUCUAUUAAGUUAGACAAUUACCCUUGUGUUUGAUCUCAAAUCAGGUAGGACUACCCGCUGAACUUAA